This 88-nucleotide non-coding RNA is filed under the name Streptomyces scabiei 87.22. RNAcentral describes it as "Streptomyces RNA 6106". It matches the Rfam family "Streptomyces RNA 6106". From Rfam's summary of the family: Identified by deep sequencing of transcriptome at the end of exponential growth phase. Appears smaller on northern blot than sequencing transcript. The record is from Rfam by way of RNAcentral. Lineage: Bacteria; Bacillati; Actinomycetota; Actinomycetes; Kitasatosporales; Streptomycetaceae.
ACGUCGCCCGGUGCGGCGUACGUGCUCCGCUCGUGGGGGCUCUGGUGGCGGGGGUGGUGCCGUGUCGGCGCAGCACCACCCCCGCGCC